GACGUAGGGGGCGAGCGUUGUCCGGAUUUAUUGGGCGUAAAGCGCGCGCAGGCGGUUCGGUUAGUCGGGUGUGAAAAUCCGGGGCUCAACCCCGGACCUGCAUCCGAUACUUCCGGACUAGAGGCAGGUAGGGGAGAGCGGAAUUCCCGGUGUAGCGGUGAAAUGCGCAGAUAUCGGGAAGAACACCGGUGGCGAAGGCGGCCAUCUGGACCGGUACUGACGCUGAGGCGCGAAAGCCAGGGGAGCGAACAGG
RNAcentral lists this ribosomal RNA (253 nucleotides) under uncultured bacterium. RNAcentral's name for it is "partial 16S ribosomal RNA". It matches the Rfam family "Bacterial small subunit ribosomal RNA", at positions 524 to 776 of the family's 1533-position model. The record is from RNAcentral.